This 451-nucleotide ribosomal RNA is filed under the name uncultured Fibrobacter sp. Its description in RNAcentral is "partial 16S ribosomal RNA". It matches the Rfam family "Bacterial small subunit ribosomal RNA", at positions 341 to 792 of the family's 1533-position model. The record is from RNAcentral. Lineage: Bacteria; Pseudomonadati; Fibrobacterota; Fibrobacteria; Fibrobacterales; Fibrobacteraceae.
ACGGGAGGCAGCAGUAGGGAAUAUUGCACAAUGGGGGGAACCCUGAUGCAGCAACGCCACGUGUGGGAAGAAGCAUUUCGGUGUGUAAACCACUGUCGUGAGGGAAUAAUGCUUGGUCUCGGCCAAGUUGAAUGUACCUCGAAAGGAAGCACCGGCAAACUUCGUGACAGCAGCCGCGGUAAUACGAGGGGUGCAAGCGUUGUGCGGAAUCACUGGGCGUGAAGGGAGCGUAGGCGGAGACGCAAGCAGUCUGUACAAUACCGGGGCCCAACCCCGGACCUGCAGACUGGACUGUGACUCUUGGAUAGUGCAGGGGCAGGCGGAAUUCCUGGUGUAGCGGUGGAAUGCGUAGAGAUCAGGAAGAACACCGAUGGCGAAGGCAGCCUGCUGGGGACUCAUCGACGCUGAGGCUCGAAAGUGCGGGUAGCAAACAGGAUUAGAUACCCUGGUA